Molecule: unclassified non-coding RNA, 345 nt
Filed under: uncultured Diversispora
Lineage: Eukaryota; Fungi; Glomeromycota; Glomeromycetes; Diversisporales; Diversisporaceae
Description: SSU rRNA
Rfam family: Eukaryotic small subunit ribosomal RNA
Source: RNAcentral
AGCAGCCGCGGUAAUUCCAGCUCCAAUAGCGUAUAUUAAAGUUGUUGCAGUUAAAAGCUCGUAGUUGAAUUUCGGGGUCAGCAGGUUGGUCGUGCCAAUGGUAUGCACUGGCCUUGCUGAUUCCUCCCUCUUGAUGAGCCGUAAUGUCAUUAAUUUGGUGUUGCGGGGAAUCAGGACUGUUACUUUGAAAAAUUGAGUGUUUAAAGCAGGCAAGCGCUUGAAUACAUUAGCAUGGAAUAAUGAAAUAGGACGUUUGAUCCUAUUUUGUUGGUUUCUAGGAUUGACGUAAUGAUUAAUAGGGAUAGGUUGGGGGCAUUAGUAUUCAAUUGUCAGAGGUGAAAUUCU